UACGUAGGGUGCGAGCGUUAAUCGGAAUUACUGGGCGUAAAGCGUGCGCAGGCGGUUGGCAAAGUCAGCUGUGAAAGCCCCGGGCUCAACCUGGGAAUUGCGGUUGAAACUAGUCGACUAGAAUCUGGCAGAGGGGGGUGGAAUUCCACGUGUAGCAGUGGAAAUGCGUAGAGAUGUGGAGGAACACCGAUGGCGAAGGCAGCCCCCGG
Molecule: ribosomal RNA, 209 nt
Filed under: uncultured bacterium
Lineage: Bacteria
Description: partial 16S ribosomal RNA
Rfam family: Bacterial small subunit ribosomal RNA
Source: RNAcentral